RNAcentral lists this ribosomal RNA (422 nucleotides) under Phthinia sp. DK-2013. RNAcentral describes it as "partial 12S ribosomal RNA". The record is from RNAcentral. Lineage: Eukaryota; Metazoa; Arthropoda; Insecta; Diptera; Mycetophilidae.
UCUGGGAUUAGAUACCCUGUUAUUUAAAAUGUAAAUAAAUAUUAUAGAGUAGUAUUAGUUAUGAUCUUAAAACUUAAAAAAUUUGGCGGUAUUUUAAUCUUUUCAGAGGAACUUGUUUUAUAAUUGAUAAUCCUCACUAUAUCUUACUUAAUUUAUUUAAUUUGUAUAUCGCCGUCAUAAGAAAAUCUUUAAAAAGAAAAAAUUUUCUAAUAUUAAAAAUAUAAAAAAUGUCAGGUCAAGGUGCAGUUUAUAGUUAAGAAAAAAUGAGUUACAAUAAAUAUUUUUAAAAUUAAUUUUUUUUUAUAUUUAUACAGUUUUAAAAUUGAAAUAUUUUAAAUAAGGUGGAUUUGAUAGUAAAAUAAUUAAUUUAAUUUAUUUGAUUAAAGUUCUAAAAUAUGUACAAAUCGCCCGUCACUCUCUGA